This is a long non-coding RNA of Salvelinus sp. IW2-2015, 303 nucleotides long. RefSeq lists it as uncharacterized. The record is from RefSeq and is a predicted model, not a curated record. NCBI's taxonomy places the organism in Eukaryota, Metazoa, Chordata, Actinopteri, Salmoniformes, Salmonidae.
GACUGCCAGAGACAUCGUCUGUCGACACCCUUUCCCUGGUCCUGGCCUGGCCAUCAGAGUGAUCUGUGCAGACGAGCCCUACAUCUGUAAGGACUUUGCUGAGACCAACAACAUCCUCAAGAUCAUCACAGACUUCUCUGCCAUGGUCAAAAAGCCCCACACGCUGCUGCAGAGAGUGAAGUCGUGUAUAUCAGACGAGGAGGAAGAGAAACUCCUGCAGAUCACCAGUGUUCAUUCACUCAAUGCCUUCCUGCUGCCAAUCAAGACUGUGGGAGUCCAGGUAACACACUUUAUACAGUGUUC